RNA transcript from Hippopotamus amphibius kiboko, 7960 nucleotides. RefSeq lists it as uncharacterized. The record is from RefSeq and is a predicted model, not a curated record. NCBI's taxonomy places the organism in Eukaryota, Metazoa, Chordata, Mammalia, Artiodactyla, Hippopotamidae. The transcript is spliced from 6 exons.
AGACUGAUACUGUAUCAUCUCCAUCUUACUGGAAAAGAAGCUGAGGCUCAGAGAGGUGAAGCGACUUCCCCAAGGACACACAGCCAGGAGGUCGUGGACUGAAACAGGACAGCGUGACUCACAUCAGAGCCAGUGCUCUGAGGGGCAGCAUUCUGCUGCCUUCUUGGGAAAGUCAGACAUCACUAAUGAAUGCCGAGAAUGUGGUCCUUCUGAGCAGAGCGCCAUGGAUAGACAGCCAGGGCUACUCUAUCCAGGCUUACAUCGGUGGCAAAGCUAUUUGCCAGUCAUGAAGAGCGAAUCCUCACAAAUCAAGUUUGACAUGUCUAUGGGAGAAUCAAGGCCCGGGGAGCUUGACUUGCCCCAGACUUGGGAGCAGGUUCUGUGUCUGCCCCCACAGCCAGCUGCACAGGACCUAUCAGUGAAGAGGCAACAAGCCCUCCCUCCCUGGAGUAAAAUUUGUGGAUGCAAACCAAAGGAGAGAUCUACAGUUCAGUCUGCCCUGAGCCCACGGGUCUGGUGGAGUCUAAAGUGCUGGGCUAACCUGUCAGUUUCAGCCGGGACUUUCCUUUGGAGGCGGUACCUGCUGCCAGGUGAGAGGUUUUCACUGUGUAGGUGCGGGGGGGUUUCUCCUAGACUCACUCACUAAGUACCCUGAGCUGUGAACUGCCUUAGCGGUUUCUUUUGGAGGGUUGCACUUAUUCUAUUGUCAGUGCUCAGAGCUUUUCAGAGCCAAGGAGAAAACCAUUCUUGUGACUUGUUUUUGAUCAAAAAGGGCUUCACCCAGCUUGACAAUGGGCCCCUAGCAACUCCUGGAUGCUUUUUUUAGCAGACAAGGGCGUCGCGCUAGGCCUGUUCCCAGCCCGUGCAGAGGAGCCUAUGGGCAGUAUUAGGGUGUGACCCCGAGUAGAGGCUCCCUCACAUACAGUUGCCCCACCCAACACCCCCGCCCUGAGCACAAGUCUCCUGCCAGGCAGCCAGCACACACGAGCCCACGGGCCAGACCAGCGUCAGAGGCUGAGAAAGAGCUGCAGAGGUGUUCCGGCCAGCACAGUGCUGCCAGACAGGUGGCUUCCUCCUGAGGAGACCCCGGGGGCUCCACCCACCAGGAGAGUUGGGGUGACCAAAAGGUGGGCUGGGACGGAGGGUGGCGGGGACAGUGCAGGAGGAACGGCUGUGCUGGAAGCGGGGAGGGUGGGGACCCCACAUGGCAGGUGACACCCCUUGCACCCAUCCCUACUCGGGGCCUGCAGGCUCAGUCUGGGAAGAAGCUGUUCUCACAACACCUGGCUCGGCUGCCUUGACUACUUUCACAGGAGUCAACGAGCACAGAGGCUAUGCUGCCCAGAACAAGACACAUGCUGGAAAGUGCUGCAGGAAGUAAACCCGACCUUCUGUUUUGAGGGCCUCUCUCUGGUGAGUGUGUUUUGGGGCACCCAGCUCACAUCCCUAUAGGGGCUACCCUUCCUCCACCCAAUCCUACUCCUGAAAGAGAGACCAGGCUAGCUUUGGGGGAGAGUGUGCAGGCACAGGGUCACCCAAAUAAGGGCCCAUUUUAAGCAUCUCACAAAGAGCAAAUGUCUAUUUUCCUGCUGUAAAUACAUCCAUUACAACGAUCCCACUUGUUUUGUUCCUGGUGAGGAAAUCCCGAGGAGGCGGCGGCAUGGGCAGACAGGCAGGAGUGGGGAACACGGGAGGCUGUGGCAGCACAGCGGAGCCCGGCCCACCACUGGAAACAGCCGGUGCUCACGCUAAGGAAACUCCAAGGCUUCUGAUCCAGGCAGAGCUUGGCCUGUGGACACGACCUGGCUAGGUGGAGCCUGAGCAGAACUGGGAGGUGUUACCUCUGCACUGGAAGCCCAAGACCACACUCCGCCAGCUCCAAGCUCCCCCACUAAGGAUGCCCUCCGAUGCGUCUCUACCUCGCACCUGCACAGCUUUCUAUUCCUCUGCCUUGGACCGUUGAAAAGGGAUGUACGACUCUGACCAAAGGGACAUUAGUUCCUGUUCCUCUACAUCAACAGUUCUCAACUUUAGCCUCCGUCAGGAUUACGGAGGACCAGCCAAAAUGCAGGCUGCCGGGCUCCACCCAGGAAACCUGAUGAGGAAAACCUCUUGUUGACAAACUCAUCCCUCUGUCUGAGGCAGUCACAGCCUAAAGAAGAGACCCAGCCAUGGGACUGUGGCCACCCUGGACCCUGCAGGCCACCAGGAAGGAAUGGAGGAGGCGACGGCUUCUCUGACAUUUUCAGGUGGGGCCCAAGAAUGUUUUCUAGUAGGCACAGUUUAUAAGGAUUUGUAACAAAAUGGAAUGUAUAAGUGGAUAUUUUCACAGGAGUGCUUCACAUGCAGGGCCCUGCACCCUCAAGACAGGGGCAGCUGUGGCGCACGCAGUGGCCUGGAGCCACGAGGGAUUUGAGUCUGGGCCCUGUCUCUGUGCCUUGUUUCCCCACCUGGUGAAAUGGGGUAGGUAAUCAAGUAUUUAUUACCUGGGGAGGCUGUGUGUAUUGAACAAGAUACUGCACAGACAGCCCUCAAUCUAUAGCAUCAUCUAUAAAGUGGGUGGUCUCGAAGGGUCUUUCUAAAGGCUCACACAGUGGAAAAUGGCCUGCCAGACCCCAUGAUAACUGGGACUGGGUGACUGCUGCUGCCUUUGCUGUUUCCCUGUGCCGACUGAGCCGGCAUCAGGCCCAGAGCACUGCUGCCUGGGUCUGCGAUGUCCAGUUCUCUUGGAGGCCGUGGGCCAUGACUGCAGGUGUGCUGCAGCACGGCAGGGGCUCAAGCAGGGCCGCCUAGUGCAGUACUGACCAGCGUGAGGAGGGCUGUGUGUCUCACUUAUCUUUUGGCUUCUUGGCUGGGUUCUUUUGUUGGUUGAAUAACCACAGCCCCUCUACAUGGCCAUCCCUGCUUAGCCAGGUGUUUGUGCCUGCCUUCCCCAUCUCAGGCUUACUGCCUCUGUGACAGUCACUCUGUUCUACUGCUGUACUGUCUCUGCCUUCUGGAGGAGACCAGAGGCCAGCUCCUCAAGAUGCAAUAGAGCAAGGGCGGAUAAGGGCUUCUGCACGCCAGUCAAAUGUCAGUUUGAAUCGUAGUUGCCCUUGGGCACGGAUGUUUUCCUCUACUGGAAAAUGGGUACCACGUGGUGGUGACGACAGUGGUGGUGAUGCAGAUGCUGCCUCCCCUGAGAGAUGGGUGCUCCUUAUAUUCCCAUUCGGCCCCUCACCUUGCCGGCUGUGCUUAUGCCCAGUGUCUUAAGUUCCUUUGAGGCAAAGUGCUUCCCACCCCACACGGAGUUUAUCUUACACUCUGACCUUUUUUAUUGCCUUGACCAGAUUAAGAAGGUGUCUGAGCUUCCCCUGAAGUCACUCCAGUUGUGUCUGCAACAGCCUUUCCCAAGUUCUUAGACCUCAGUUUCCAUGGCUGUUGCAAGGGGACUCCAUGAGCUACCUCUGCCUGGUACCUUCCUGGGUCACCUGCUCAGUGAUGGCUGGGGCUGUACACAUUGGUUGCUUGUGUCCACUGUCCCACUGGACGGCAGAGAUUUGGGUUCACAGGGCCACAGCACAGAGGAGUGUUUACUUCCGCCAGCUGUGCUGAGCCCCUCCUCACAUAGGGCAUCGCCAAGCAUCCCUGUUCUUGGUGAGCUCAGCCUCCGGGACUGGGCAAGGCAGGCACACAGGACUCCAGGCCAGGGGCUGUGUGGAGGAGCCAAUCAGGGACCCGAAGAGUCCUGUGGGGGUGAGGCUGUGUCCUAAGGGUUGGAAAGCCCAGGGGGAUUUUCUGGAGGAGAAAGACUAGUAGCCUGACCCUGAAGGUUAAAUACAGAUAAAAGUGGAUUCUAGGUGGACUCUGGUUUUCUUGCUGGACCAGGCCACCUGUCUAAUUGCCUUGGCUGUUUGGGAGACCGAUAGGGCAGGACAUCUUGGCAGCUUGGGGGACACAGGUAAAAUGUCUAUCACCCCAUGUGGCCCUUCCUCUGCUGGGGUUAGGUCUCCCUCACACUGUGCUCCUGGCCUUCGUGUGUUCUGUCUGGCUUUGAAUAACUGCCCAGCAGGAGACUACUCCAUGCAGAGGUAAAGGCCAGGCUAUCAGGGUCCUGAGCUGAGGACAGUGGGUUACAAGAGGGUGAAGCUAAAAUUCAGAAGGGGAUGGUCAUGGGCCCAGCACCUCCAAAGCUGGAGAGAGGCCAGGGCAGCACAACCCAGCAGAGGUCGCUUACCUUCGCUCACUCCAGGGUGCACGUGUUCUGGGUUAAUAAGUAAUUCUCCCAGUUCAGUUUGUCUCUGUCCUUUAUAUUUGUCUUCUAAGGCUCAUGCUGAGGGGGCAGAGAGGCUGAUGGCUGUGCCUGGGUGGGUCAGGGAAUACCAAGAGCUGUUUCCAAGGUUCUCUAAAACCACGCACACAGAGAGUGCUCAGGCAGUGUGGGGAUCUUCUGGCAGAAUGCGCCGAGGUGGGUCUGCUGACCAAAGGGGACGGGAGGCAGGGGUUCCGUGUGCCUGAUACCAAGAACACUGAAGCCAAAGGCCUCCGAUCAAAUACCGGCUCUGCCUGGUACACGCUAUGUGACCUCCGGUGAGUGACUUGACCUCUCUAGGCUUCCAUUUCUUUGUCUUUGAGUGGAAUUAAUAGUGCUGCUCAUCUUGUGGGGUUGUUGUGAGAUACGGCACAUAAAGGGUUCAGCACAGCGCCUGGGACCCAACGAAUACCCAUAAAUGGUAGCUUGAAGAAAACAAACUCACUCUCCUUUUAGGCUCAUAAAUCUAAGGAGAGUUUAAUCAAAGCCCCAAACUAGCUAUUACGCAAGUACUGCCCCUCUGGAGAGGGGCCGUCCCCUCACGUCAAACAGAGUGGAGGGAGUGGGGUAUCCAUAGAUACUGCGACCAGAACGCCCACCAGCUGCCAGCGGUGGUUUCCCGAGGCUGGGGUCACACCGCGGGGUCUCAUUUGCCUCCAGUGGGCUUUAAUAUCGGCCCCCAAUCUUGGGGGUGGAUGGGCUGGAGGAAGGGAGUGUAGGCCUGUGGUCAUCCUCCACAUGUGCAAGAUGCCGGGCCUCAGCUGAGAGAAAGUGACCCCACAGCUCUCUACCAGCAUGUCUGCAUGUAUAUUGUUUUAAUUCCAACAUGACUUUAAUGCCGGAGACACUGGAUGCCACAAACAAGCUGUUUUAUUUCCCCUCCUAAACCCCACUGUGAUUUACUGGCCGGCUCUGGUGUAAUCCCAUUCUUUGCUCAUGAAAGAGAGGGCAGCUGUUUACACGGCUCUGUGGGGCAAGGUCUGCCCGACAGAUGUGGGGCUGGGUGGCUAUGCACAUGUGCUUGUCUUUGGCAUUCCGCCCUCUUAAAAGCUUUCAACUGAUUAUUUUUUAAAACUUUUUACUCCGUGAAAAAUGUAAAUAAGUUUGUAAUAACAGAUGCUCUUUUAUGGGCAUGACUUUUUACGCUUCAAUUAAAAAUUUCCCAAUAGUCAUAUGAAAGAGCGUGAAAUUAUUACCUCCAAUAAAGGCUCCUAUUGCUUCUCUCCUCGGAAGCACCUUUCAUCACAGUAGAUCAAAGUGCAUCCGAAACACUAAUUAACUGAGCCUCAGAACUGUCUGUGAGGAAGGGCAGUCCCUUAGUCUCACUAGCUGAUAAGACAGGUCAGGGUCAGAGAGGGUGAUUCAUUUACCAAAGGUCACUCAGCAGCACAGCACCAAAGAAUAGAACUUCUAUGGGAGGUGUGGGGAUGGGAAGGUGAGAGAAGCAGGAAGCAGGCUAAUUAUGCUCAGAUCCAAAAGAACUUUGUGGGGAAAAAAAAAAAAAGGUCUUGAAUUGCCUCUGGGACUGAGUCAGGCACCUGUAACACCUCUCCACAGUUCCUGGGAAAGUUCAACCUGCUGGGUGCUUGCUGACCACCUUAUGAAAGAUGCUUGUCUUUGCCAGGUGCUCUUAGAGCCGACUGAAAGCGCUGUUAGAAGCUCUAGCUCUGUCAGCUUUGCUUUCAAUAUGCGUUUAAAUGGUACUGACUUUUAAAAUGAUGUUCAACAUAUGCUUGUGGCAGAAGAGAAUAGAAUGAGGACGUACAGUGCCUAGAAACACAGAUGGCAAUCCAGAACAACAACCGCGUCGGCUCUGGACGUCCCUGUGCUUUGGGGUGAAGUGGAGCACAGGGCAGAGUGAGCACAGGAACUCAAGGCUGGGGCAGCGUGCACUUCCACUUGUCCUCUGCUCAGGGUCCUGCCCCCCCACACCAGCUUCUUUGUGCCAGUAAGUCCGAGAAGAGAGCCCACUCUCACGGGGCAGAGGGCUGAGGGGCCCUCAUGUGCAGGGACACCCUUUGUGGGAGGCCUCGGCUGCCCAGACCUGCAGGGGAAGGGAGGGGAGGUGCGGUGCCCACAGCUCACCUCCAGGAGGGACUGCAGGAGAAUGCCCCUUCUGUCCUUGAUGGACACGGGCAGUGACAGAGGCUCCAGAGGAAGAUCUUUUCCCAUAUCAGGUCCUCUGGUGGGUCCUGCCAGUCCUGUGUGACUGCCAUGGCCCACAGGAAGCCCUGGGGCAUGUUGUCUGUCUGCCUGUAAGUAAGGCCUUCUGGGUACAAUGUGUAAGCUCUGCUUGAAAAGACAUCCCAGGAGGAUAUGACAGGAAUUCCGUCCAGGACUAGCUCUGUCACUGGCACGUGGGCUGUGGGACCCUCACUGUUCAGGGAAGCAGAAUUACAAGACCUGCCCAAGCAAAGUCCACUCUCUAUCCUCCUCGUGGGUUUGGAAGGGAAGUGCUUUGAGAAGAGCAGCUUUCCAUACGUACAAGGAAUAGUUCUGAGGAGGAUGGUGCAGCCUGCAGUGUCAUGGGACAUCAGUGUGCUGGGGCCCGUGCUCCCGCUGCACAGCCCGCCUUCCUCGGGUACUGGGAGGAAAUGACGGCAGAGACCCUGCAAGGCUCUCCACCUGCUGACACAGAGCCCUGGGCUGCGGCAGCUCUAAAGGCCAGUUUCCCUUUGUUUCUGUGCCCCAUCCAGAUGGGGAGCCUUCCAGAGGCCUACAGCUCAGACCCUUAGUAGGGAGGACCCUGGAGAUGUGAUGGGUGGAGACAUAGCCUCAGAGGCAGCCCUCAUACCUUCCUCAUGGAAGCGUUCUCAAAGCACGCUCCCUUCGGAGAGCUCCUUUAAUUUCCCAGCAGUCCUGAGAUGUUGCGUAGGGGGAUGAUCAUGUCUAUUUCACAGAGUAGGGGUUGGACUCAGAAUGGGGGUUACCUUGCAUGCCAUCACUCAGCUGGUUAGGCAGGCCCGAGCACAGGGCUGCUCUGAUAGGCAGGGACCUGAUGGGCUGUGUGCUGGCAUCUAGGGGUGCACCACCCAGGAGAGGGUGUGGUUGGGGGUCUGUCUUAGGGGCAGUUGUGCUGCUGCCCACAACCUCCAUGAGUCUCCCUGGGAAGACUUCAGGGCUGGGAGGUGGGGGAGGCCCAGCCCUGUUUCUGUCCCACAUAUCUGCCCACUCAGAUCCACCUCAUUAGCAGGGCAGUGAGACACAGGUAGCGCAAGCAGGUUUUGGGGAGGUGGAGGGUGCUUGGAAAUACAAAGGUCAGGGACAGAGGGCCUUGCCCAGAGAAUGCUGAGGUUUCAGGACAGAACUAUAACAUUGCUAGGGGCUGGGCCUGCGAGGGGCUCUCCCAGUCAGUAUCCCUGCAUUCACGCCUCCCCACCCAUCAAAGUCUUAGUGUCCUUCAAGGGCCACCUUCUGUGAUGACAUCUGCUGUCACAGCUGAAGUUUGGUUCUAUCCUCAGGCUUCCUGUCUUUCUACAUCUCUUCACUGUCCCUCACAAUUACCUAAUGUCUGUGUUCUUCCCGAGUUCGAGCUUCUGUUCCCCUCAACAAAGGCGAGUGCUUGAAGGCAGCCGCAGCUGAGCAUGCGCGGUCAGAGCUCUGCAAGCAUGGGCCACAUACGUAGGGGAACAAGCCGUGGGCCCUUACCUGCCGCUGCCGAUGGAUGGA